Molecule: unclassified non-coding RNA, 330 nt
Organism: Pan paniscus (pygmy chimpanzee)
Lineage: Eukaryota; Metazoa; Chordata; Mammalia; Primates; Hominidae
Gene: 7SK
Rfam family: 7SK RNA
About the family: 7SK was discovered as an abundant small nuclear RNA in the mid-70s but a possible function has only recently been suggested. Two independent studies have found that 7SK RNA binds the CDK9/cyclin T complex (known as elongation factor P-TEFb). P-TEFb activates transcription by phosphorylating the C-terminal domain of RNA polymerase II.
Source: Ensembl
GGAUGUGAGGGUGAUCUGGCUGUGACAUCUGUCACUCCAUUGAUUGCCAGGGUUGAUUUGGCUGAUCUGGCUGGCUAGGCGGGUGUCCCCUUCUUCCCUCAACGCUCCACGUGCGUCCCUCCUGAAGCUGCGUGCUCAGUCAAAGAGGACGACCAUCCCCAAUAAAGGAGGACCAGUCUUCAGUCAAGGGUAUACAAGUAUCUUCUCUUCCUAGCUAGAACCUCCAAACAAGUUCUUAAGAUCCGUUGUAGGAGAACGUAGGGUAGUCAAGCUUCCAAGACUUCAGACACAUCCUAAUGAGGCGCUGCAUGUGGCAGUCUGCCUUUAAAA